UGUCCCUUGGUGUAAUGGUAGCACAACAGACCUUGGCUCUGUUAGUCUUUGUUCGAAUCAAAGAGGGACAA
This 71-nucleotide transfer RNA is filed under the name Caudoviricetes sp. RNAcentral's name for it is "tRNA-Gln". It matches the Rfam family "tRNA". From Rfam's summary of the family: Transfer RNA (tRNA) molecules are approximately 80 nucleotides in length. Their secondary structure includes four short double-helical elements and three loops (D, anti-codon, and T loops). The record is from RNAcentral. Lineage: Duplodnaviria; Heunggongvirae; Uroviricota; Caudoviricetes.